ACGAACGCUGGCGGCGUGCUUAACACAUGCAAGUCGAACGAUGAAGAAAAGAAUCGAAGCUUCGGCAGAAAUUCAUUUCGGAUUAGUGGCAGACGGGUGAGUAACGCGUGAGCAACCUACCUCUUACAAAGGGAUAGCCUCGGGAAACCGGGAUUAAUACCAUAUAACAUUGCGACGAAGCAUUUCGAUGCAAUCAAAGCUACGGCGGUAAGAGAUGGGCUCGCGUCCCAUUAACCGGAUGGUGAGGUAACGGCUCACCAUAGUGACGAUGGGUAACCGGCCUGAGAGGGUGAACGGUCACACUGGAACUGAGACACGGUCCAGACUCCUACGGGAGGCAGCAGUGGGGAAUAUUGCACAAUGGAGGGAACUCUGAUGCAGCGACGCCGCGUGAGUGAUGAAGGAAUUCGUUUCGUAAAACUCUGUUCUAUGGGAAGAAAAGGACUGUACCAUAGGAGAAAGCUCCGGCUAAAUACGUG
RNAcentral lists this ribosomal RNA (479 nucleotides) under uncultured bacterium. RNAcentral describes it as "partial 16S ribosomal RNA". It matches the Rfam family "Bacterial small subunit ribosomal RNA", at positions 29 to 507 of the family's 1533-position model. The record is from RNAcentral.